UAUUCCGAGCUUUUAAAAAAUUAUCACUUUCUUUCAGAGCUCUAUGAAUCUGCAGAAGCAGAAAGAAUGGAACUGAAAAGUUGGAAAGCAAAUUAGAACUGUUUUGGAAAGUCAGCCACCUGCAGAAGAGAUCACAAGACGAUACAGGAAGCCAGAGAGACUCAGGGGCCAGAGUCACUCUUUUUUAUGACAAUCUGCUCUUGUAAGAACCAAUUCA
RNAcentral lists this long non-coding RNA (217 nucleotides) under Fukomys damarensis (Damara mole-rat). Its description in RNAcentral is "lncRNA (ENSFDAG00000029189.1)". Lineage: Eukaryota; Metazoa; Chordata; Mammalia; Rodentia; Bathyergidae. The record is from RNAcentral.